GUAAAUUAUUUACUUCAUUAAUAUGUUGUGAACUUCCAUUAGUGAUCAUAGGUCUGGCAUCUGUCAAUCAUUCAUGUUAUUAUUAUAUUCUCCAAUUAGUUUAGAAGUUGAACUUUGCAGUUCUUGAAGUUAAGAGUUCAGGCUCUUAUAGAAGUAGGAUUAUUGAAGUGUAUGGACUUGAGAACAUGCACAUGCAUUUAAGCCAUUGUUAUCAUAAAAGAUAAUUUUUUGAUAUCGAAAGCUAUAUUUGAGGUUAUCUGAUGCAAUUUUAAUUAGACUUGUGCUCUUAAUGAGAUCUUA
Molecule: unclassified non-coding RNA, 300 nt
Filed under: Hevea brasiliensis (rubber tree)
Lineage: Eukaryota; Viridiplantae; Streptophyta; Magnoliopsida; Malpighiales; Euphorbiaceae
Source: RNAcentral